UCCCUGGUGGCUGAGAUGGUAAAGAAUCUGCCUGCAAUGCAGGAGACCUAGGUUUGAUUCCUGGGUCUGGAAA
Non-coding RNA from Ovis aries (sheep), 73 nucleotides. NCBI's taxonomy places the organism in Eukaryota, Metazoa, Chordata, Mammalia, Artiodactyla, Bovidae. The record is from Rfam.